This is a long non-coding RNA of Solea senegalensis (Senegalese sole), 338 nucleotides long. RefSeq lists it as uncharacterized. The transcript is spliced from 3 exons. The record is from RefSeq and is a predicted model, not a curated record. NCBI's taxonomy places the organism in Eukaryota, Metazoa, Chordata, Actinopteri, Pleuronectiformes, Soleidae.
GAGCAGGGAGACUCGGGCCAAGGCACACUCUCUCAAACUUUGGCCAAGGUCUCAGCGAUCAUCAUUACCGUCUGCAUUCAGUCAGGCUGUGUGUGUUGAUUUCCAGUCUUUCGUAAUCCUCUGAGGAAACCAAGGGAGUUGGCACCGACUUUCCUUGAGGACAGAGGAAUGCAAAGUUCUGAGCUCCAGUUGAAGCUUUGGAUUGAGGUGCAUGAGCUGGAUGAACAAGCCGAAUAUGACGAUAUUAGGGCCGUGGAGAUGAGACGCCUCACGGUGCUGAACAGACACUGAAGCCAGAAGACAUCAGAGCUGUUGACAGGCCCAUCCAUCAUCCCUCU